AGCUGACGGCACAAGACCUACGACAGAAAUUGACCUUAAGAAUAAGUUAGCAGUCUGACAUGUGACAGCCAUUUGAAUCGCAAAGAGAGGAGCGUUAAAGCCUCGGAGUCUGAGCAAGGCAAUAUCAACCGCCACCACAGAAGUCAGAGCAGUGAGAGGGUUUAAAUAAAUGUGGGAGUGGCAGUUCUUAAAGCUGCCGUGAGAUCAUCACACAGUCAGGAGGCCUCGCUCGUGGCCGUCCAGCUGUAUCCGGCGGUGUGCCUCGGCUGGCGCCUAGCAGCUGACUUAGAACUGGUGCGGACCAGGGGAAUCCGACUGUUUAAUUU
This 326-nucleotide unclassified non-coding RNA is filed under the name Hevea brasiliensis (rubber tree). The record is from RNAcentral. Lineage: Eukaryota; Viridiplantae; Streptophyta; Magnoliopsida; Malpighiales; Euphorbiaceae.